Molecule: small RNA, 879 nt
Filed under: Pongo abelii (Sumatran orangutan)
Lineage: Eukaryota; Metazoa; Chordata; Mammalia; Primates; Hominidae
Description: retained intron
Source: RNAcentral
GGCAUGAGCACAAGUGGCAAGGCCCCAUGGAUAAAAGGCUGAACACCCAGAGCCAUUCAGGAGGGUGUGGGUCCCUGGCCUCUAACCAAAGGUCAGAGGGGACCGGCUGGGAAAGUUUGGACUGAGGGACAUGACAGGGCAUGGUGGCCCUGCCAGCCAGUCCCCUCACCCUGACUCUCUUCUGCAGGUGCGUGAUGAAGAUCUUUUGUCUUCUUCUGAAGAGGAGUGCAAGGAUAGGUACGUAGUGGGGAAGCCCAGGGACGGGCUGGUUCUGGGCCCAGGCUCCUGGCCCACUUGCUCCCCUCUUUUGCCUCAGGGAACGCCCCAUGUAUGGCCGGGACAGUGCCUACCAGAGCAUCACGCACUACCGCCCUGUUUCAGCCUCCAGGAGCUCCCUGGACCUGUCUUAUUAUCCUACUUCCUCCUCCACCUCUUUUAUGUCCUCCUCAUCAUCGUCUUCAUGGCUCACCCGCCGUGCCAUCCGGCCUGAAAACCAUGCUCCUGGGGCUGGGCUGGGCCAGGAUCGCCAGGUCCCGCUCUGGGGCCAGCUGCUGCUUUUCCUGGUCUUUGUGAUCGUCCUCUUCUUCAUUUACCACUUCAUGCAGGCUGAAGAAGGCAACCCCUUCUAGAGGGAGCCGCAAGGGUCUGGGCUUCAGAGCCAGGUCUUUGGGGAAGUCCUGGCUGACUGCCUUAGCAGUGGGGGUGGGGGUGGGGGGGGCAGGGGCAGGGGCUUUUAUGUGUUUUUGCUUGGGGGGCGCUGGGCCUAGCCCAGAGUAGUGCUUGCUCCCCCUGCCUUGUCCCACCAGGGAGGCAGCAGACUCAGGCCCUCCAUGGUCCUCUUUGUCAUCUUGUUGAUAUGCAUUCCUCCUUUUGUCAUCU